UACAGAGGGGGCAAGCGUUGUUCGGAAUUACUGGGCGUAAAGGGCGCGUAGGCGGCCUUCUAAGUCGAACGUGAAAUCCCUGGGCUCAACCCAGGAACUGCGUCCGAUACUGGAAGGCUUGAAUCCGGGAGAGGGAUGCAGAAUUCCAGGUGUAGCGGUGAAAUGCGUAGAUAUCUGGAGGAAUACCGGUGGCGAAGGCGGCAUCCUGGACCGGCAUUGACGCUGAGGAGCGAAAGCCAGGGGAGCAAACGGG
RNAcentral lists this ribosomal RNA (253 nucleotides) under uncultured bacterium. RNAcentral describes it as "partial 16S ribosomal RNA". It matches the Rfam family "Bacterial small subunit ribosomal RNA", at positions 524 to 776 of the family's 1533-position model. The record is from RNAcentral.